ACAUGGGCUGUAUCGAGAGGAUUGUUGCAGCAACGACCGUUACACCAACAUGACUAUGGCCGUGUGGUAUCAGGUUGGAGAUCCUAUCUUAUGCAGCCAAUCUUAGGGACCUUUCCAGAUAAACAAGGCAUCAGGUCUCCUAUGUUUAAACGGCAACGCCAGUGGCUGAACGAUAAGACAAGUAGACCUCACAGAUUGGCCGUCCCGUGUUCCUUGCGCCUUUCUGCCAUCUCCAAGAAGGUUUAAUCGAUUUGGAAAUCAAUGUCAAGUUGGAAUAGCCGCUAAUGCAAUCGCGGAGAUCAAGUAAACGAUACGCGCCCACAUUUUCUUCUCUCUUUUGCCCCCUGUUUUCAGCCUCCAUUAUCCAUCAUCCAGUUCAUACGUAAUUUUUUCCCUAUCUCCUUCUCAAACUUUUGGGGCGAAUCGAAUAAACGAAAACAAAAGCAAUGGGGAAUUAAUCGAAGAGAUUUUCCGCUCAGUCCUGGAGGGGAAGGAACAAACAAUAUUUUAUAAAUCGAUAUAGAAAAUAUUCACUCAUGACAGGAAGUAGAUGAGUGGGUUUGGACCAUUUUCUUGCUUUUUCGCCUUGUUUAGUGGCCACACGGGCCUACCACCCAUGCAAAACCACUUGAUCUGAUCACCAGCCACUUUUCCACCCACACCAUCCUCGAUCGUUCAAAAAUUUCCUUAUCUCGGCACAUGAUACUGCAGCACGGUGCAGGGUGCAUGGGGCUCUGUGCAGAGAUUCAAA
RNAcentral lists this small RNA (751 nucleotides) under Histoplasma capsulatum var. duboisii H88. Its description in RNAcentral is "Histoplasma capsulatum H88 hypothetical RNA". Lineage: Eukaryota; Fungi; Ascomycota; Eurotiomycetes; Onygenales; Ajellomycetaceae. The record is from RNAcentral.